Molecule: non-coding RNA, 29 nt
Filed under: Macaca fascicularis (crab-eating macaque)
Lineage: Eukaryota; Metazoa; Chordata; Mammalia; Primates; Cercopithecidae
Also listed under: 1 other name
Source: RNAcentral
UUAGAGUUGGUCCUGGGAUCUGUCAUCCU